RNAcentral lists this ribosomal RNA (449 nucleotides) under uncultured bacterium. RNAcentral's name for it is "partial 16S ribosomal RNA". It matches the Rfam family "Bacterial small subunit ribosomal RNA", at positions 29 to 523 of the family's 1533-position model. The record is from RNAcentral.
AAUGAACGCUGGCGGCAGGCCUAAAACAUGCAAGUCGAACGCUCUAGCAAUAGAGAGUGGCGCACGGGUGCGUAACACGUGGGAAUAUGCCUUUUGGUACGGAACAACGUUUGGAAACGAACGCUAAUACCGUAUGGUCCCUUCGGGGUAAAGAUUUAUCGCCAAAAGAUUAGCCCGCGCUGGAUUAGCUAGUUGGUGAGGUAAUGGCUCACCAAGGCGACGAUCCAUAGCUGGUCUGAGAGGACGAUCAGCCACACUGGGACUGAGACACGGCCCAGACUCCUACGGGAGGCAGCAGUUAGGAAUAUUGGACAAUGGGCGCAAGCCUGAUCCAGCCAUGCCGCGUGAGUGAUGAAGGCCUUCGGGUUGUAAAGCUCUUUAGCCGAUGAUUAUAAUGACUGUAGUCGGAGAAUAAGCCCCGGCUAACUUCGUGCCAGCAGCCGCAGUAA